UACGGAAGGCAGCAGUAGGGAAUAUUGGGCAAUGGCCGAGAGGCUGACCCAGCCAUGCCGCGUGCCGGAUGAAGGCCUUCUGGGUUGUAAACGGCUUUUCUCAGGGAAGAAAAGGGGAUGCGUCCUCAACUGACGGUACCUGAGGAAUAAGCACCGGCUAACUCCGUGCCAGCAGCCGCGGUAAUACGGAGGGUGCAAGCGUUGUCCGGAUUUAUUGGGUUUAAAGGGUGCGUAGGCGGCCCGUUAAGUCCGGGGUGAAAGCCCACGGCUCAACCGUGGAACUGCCCUGGAUACUGGCGGGCUUGAGUCCAGACGAGGUUGGCGGAAUGGAAGGUGUAGCGGUGAAAUGCAUAGAUACCUUCCAGAACCCCGAUUGCGUAGGCAGCUGACUAGGCUGGUACUGACGCUGAGGCACGAAAGCGUGGGGAGCGAACAGGGAUUAGAUACC
RNAcentral lists this ribosomal RNA (448 nucleotides) under uncultured bacterium. RNAcentral's name for it is "bacterial SSU rRNA". It matches the Rfam family "Bacterial small subunit ribosomal RNA", at positions 340 to 786 of the family's 1533-position model. The record is from RNAcentral.